UGCGGACGAUCCAAGCGUUAUCCGGAAUCAUUGGGAUUAAAGGGUCCGUAGGCGGGUUAAUAAGUCGGUGGUGAAAGUCUGCAGCUCAACUGUAGAAUUGCCAUUGAUACUGUUAACCUUGAGUAAUUAUGAAGUGGUUAGAAUAUGUAGUGUAGCGGUGAAAUGCAUAGAUAUUACAUAGCAUACCGAUUGCGAAGGCAGAUCACUAAUAAUUUACUGAACCUGAGGGACGAAAGCGUAGGUAGCGAACAGG
RNAcentral lists this unclassified non-coding RNA (253 nucleotides) under uncultured Flavobacteriaceae bacterium. RNAcentral's name for it is "contains 16S-23S intergenic spacer region". It matches the Rfam family "Bacterial small subunit ribosomal RNA", at positions 524 to 776 of the family's 1533-position model. The record is from RNAcentral. Lineage: Bacteria; Pseudomonadati; Bacteroidota; Flavobacteriia; Flavobacteriales; Flavobacteriaceae.